AUGUACCCACUCGUACACUCCGGUCCCUGCGCGCCGUCUGCACCCACCUGACGACC
The sequence is a small RNA, 56 nucleotides long. It matches the Rfam family "Xanthomonas sRNA sX9", at positions 1 to 55 of the family's 76-position model.